GCGUUGUCCGGAAUUAUUGGGCGUAAAGAGCUCGUAGGCGGUCUGCUACGUCCGCUGUGAAAACCUAGGGCUUAACCCUGGGCUUGCAGUAGAUACGGGCAGACUAGAGGUAGGUAGGGGAGAAUGGAAUUCCCGGUGUAGCGGUGAAAUGCGCAGAUAUCGGGAGGGACACCGGUGGCGAAGGCGGUUCUCUGGGCCUUACCUGACGCUGAGGAGCGAAAGCGUG
This 226-nucleotide ribosomal RNA is filed under the name uncultured bacterium. Its description in RNAcentral is "partial 16S ribosomal RNA". It matches the Rfam family "Bacterial small subunit ribosomal RNA", at positions 538 to 763 of the family's 1533-position model. The record is from RNAcentral.